AGGGAAAUAUAGACACACGGAAACACACACACACACACACACACACACACACAUCUUUAUUCAGGUCCAGUAUGAACAUAUGUCCCCAGACCAUUUGAGGAUGCUGAUCUCCCAGCGAACUGAUUAGGCAAUAAAUCGCUAGGAUGUUAAACAUUCUGGCUGAACUAGACAUCUUUUGUGCAUGGAUGAAAAAAAAUCUUAACCGCGCCUAAUGACCAUAAACCAAAGACUCAUUAUAUGGCAUGGAUAGAACAUUCACUUUAGCGUCUAUUAAGUGCCGAUAAUUAUUUAGCUUCUGUGACUAAUAGGCAUGGAAAAUCUGAUUAAAUAUCUGAGGUCUAAGUACUGCCCCCAUGGUUCAUGGCAAAAACAAUUCCUGGACCAGCUUCGUAUACAUAAAAUAUAUAGAGAGAAUAGAAGGGAAAAAACCAUCUAUCUGCAUACAUUUUCAGCACCGUCAUUAUCGUACAUGCCAUAUCUAAAUGCCUGGUUUAAAUUAUUUGCGAGAGCUGCUACAUCAUAGUCCCUGUCAUGAACAUCUUCGUCAUCACUGUCCCUUACCCUAUCAUGCAGUGCAGUAGGCCGACUGUAAACAAAGUACAAAAAAAAAGAGGUAUUGAUACCAGUAGAUGAAAAACUUGCCAACAAAAAAGAUAUACACACGUGCUAAUAACAGACAUGCAUAUACAUAAGAAACACAAAAGUUGCUGAUUAUUAAUGCACACCAGACUUCCUGUUUCUGUUCAAAACCCUAUAAUAUAAUACAUUGACUUCUCAAUAAAAUUUGUUAAUAGUCUUAGUUAAUCUCUUAAACAUUUGUAGGUUGUUGAUUGUGAACAUAGCAUAAUUGAACAUUAUCACAAAUUCUGCAGAGAAAAAUAUAUAAAUAUUUUUAUUCUCAUUCUAAUAUAACUAGUGAAAGCCUAUAAUUCAACUCCCAUGCUAAUAAUAUGUAUAACCAACUUUCAUGGGUAGGAGAAACGGCUUAGGCUGACACACAAUGACAGGUGUUUCACUUUUUUCAAAAGUACAGAAUAAGGAAUAUAAUUAUAAACAUACAGUUUCCAGCCUGAUAAGUAUGUAACACUAAGAAACACAUGAUCAAUAUACAAGAAAACUCGAAAUUCUGAUACGAACUGUCUCAAGGUGCAACGGAAAAGAUAAGAAUCAAAAGCAUACUCAGUUUUUUCCAUCAAACAUAUAUGAUCUUCGAUUGACAAAUGCACAAAAAACACUGAUGAUUUUAAGGCAAACCUACAGCCAAAUCAAGUAAUGAAGCUGUGACUCUUAAAUAGCACAGGCACUAGAGGGUAGAGAAGAUUUAUUUCUUCAAAGGGUCUUCCUAAAGGUUUGCAGGGAGUAUUGCCAUCAUGCAAAUGUUUAAUCAUAAAUCCUUUAAAUAUAAGUCUUAUCCUACCAAUAGCUUUGAACCAACAUGAAGAGGUCUAGUACUCUCAACAGUUGCAAAAAAUUGGAUGAAGCAUCUAGAUAAACACAUGAACUGCAGAUGUUCCACAAGGUAACUCCUUUGUAGUUGGCCAGUCCUAACAAAUAAAAAUGAAGUUUCCGGCAUCUAUAUCCUUGUAAGAGUGAUAUGAAUCACUUCAAGAAAAUGGAAAAAAGCACAACUGAACUAAUGAAGAAUCCAUGUAAUAUAUAAUAAAAUAUAUUUUUAUACAUGUUUUAUAUGAUUUUAUUCCCAUAUUUAAUUGUAUUUUGCACCGAUUUGGAUUUUUAUUUAAUAUAUUUUCAUGUUUUAUUGUAGGGAAUAAAGAAUUCCUAAGUUGAGAAGGAUUUGAAGAACAAUAGCUAUUUUGGAGCUAAAUUCUAUGGAAAUUCGGAUUGAUUGGGCUAUACGCGAUUUCUACACUAUUUGGGCCAUAUCUUUUGUUCUAGAUGUCGGAUUUGGACGAUCUUACAGUCUACGCAAAGCUUACGAAAUUUUCUUUAAUUUAGAGACAGCCCAAGAAGCAAAAUCAAACCAGAAAAGCCCGUAAACUGAUGUGCAAAGAAAGCUUCGAAUUUUGAUAAGAAUCCUACUUGGUUUUGGAGUUUAUUUGUAAAUAUAUCUAAAAACAUUAAAAAUACUUUUAUUAUUAGAGAGAGGAUGAGAUUUUAUUAUCAUUGUAUACUCUUAGAUUAGAGAUAUAGUUAUGGUUAGAGAGAGACUCAUGGAGGAACCAUAGUUUUUCUUACAUUGACAAAUCUGAAAGUUAAAGGUUUUCUUCUCUUUUCUUGUCAGUUAAAUUAUAUAUUUUUAUUACCUUAGUUGUUUUAAUUGUUUAAAUAUUAGCGAGUAGUAGUUUCUAGGGCUUAAUGGGAAGUCAUGUUUGCACUGUAAUAUUGCCAUGAUUUCACAGUGAUUUGAUUCAUUGUGGUUAAUUCUAAUUAAUUAUGUUUAAUAUCAAUUUCAGUAAUCAGCCAAUAUCAUGAAUUACUUCUAUGUGAAUAGGAGUAUGAUAUAGCUAGUAAACUAUUUAGGCAAAUCGCAAUCAAUUAAUAAAUAAAUAAAUAAUUUUAGAAAGAACGGGCAAGACCCAUUCACUAUCCAUCCUUGUCUGAGUCCAUGUAUUACCAGUGUUAUAAUUACAUUUAUAGCCACAGAUAGUAUCAAAUAGACGCAUACCCGCAAGCCCAACGAUAUACAUUCUCGACCAUAUUACGCUCCUGCAAAGCUGAAGCCUGCCAAUCUUCCCAUUCGCUAUUUUCCUGUAUAGUUUCCAAAAACACUUGAUAAGAUCAAAGGUCCAAAUAAACACCUGGGCUGCUAAUCAGAUAAUCAAUAUGAAAUUUGCUUAAACCAGCAAAGUAUCUAAGAAGAUUAAAUUGCACAUUUGCGAAAAACACUGAUAGAGUAAGACAUACUCUGGUAGCAAAAUAAUGGUAAUUGUUAAGGACAAUUACUUCUUAAAUUUUUAUUUACUUGUAAGCAUAUAAAUAUAGCACCAAAAGCCAGUGUCAAUUCCUAGAUCCUAGAGGAGAGACCUUCUGGUCACGGUUUAUUUCAGAUAAUGCCAAAGCAACUGGUAACAUAUUGAAUGUCCGAUCCCCUUAAUUUGACCAGAGCUAUGCAACAAUGAGAUUCCUCUUGAAUGUUGAUACUGCCAGAUGUUAUUGAAGAUCCUUGGAUGAGAUCAGCUAGACAAUCAGGUUUUGCAAUUUUCUGUUGUUUCGAAGUCUUAAAAGUGAAUAUUCCCCUCUUUCAAAAAAAAAAAAAGUGAAUAUUCACCGAGUUAAAACAAUCUGCCUCCAUUGCGGUUUACGAAAUUUUGUUUCUAAAGUGCUAGAAGCAAAGUUGAUGUGGAAUCUAAUUGAUCAAUAAAAGCUGGAGGUCACUGGUCAGGCAGUAAGUUGGCGGAAGGAAUUACCAUGCUGGUAUAAGACUAUGUAACACAUGAUUUCUAAUCCUUGGCGAAUUCUCUUAACAACAAACAUGCAAAUAUGAUGCCUGAAUCAUCCAAUAAAAGUAAUGCCUGGCCGUAAAUUCAUGAGUAAUGAACAAUAUAGACUCGAGUCAGUCUCUUCAAUAUAGCAAUAUAUGUGUGAAAAUGAAAUACACUAUAUACCUGUAAGUGCUUCUGAAUCUGGCUAUCUGUGUUCCCCAACUGCACAAGCUUAUUGGCAAUGCGAGUAAUGUGUCCAAGGUUCCCAAUCCGUGGUGCCUGUCUUCCAGUAGAAGCUAAUGUUGGCUGUUAUAUAAAGGCAAAAAAAAAUAUUAUAUGUUAAUCAUUCCACAUUUAUAAGAACAACAAAUUCUCUAGAUACUCAGUCAUCAGAUGCCAUAAAAGGCACCAAAACAUCGUAAAUCCCUCAAAAGUGCUCAGAGUCUCUCCAACCCAUUUACACCAAAGGUUACGUCAGAAGGACUCUUUUUUGUACAAUAUAGGUUGUUUUAUUGUUAAAGUGAAAUUAAUAAAAAUUGUUGGACAUUAAUGGAAAUGAAAUUGUUUGAGGUAAGUAGUAUAAGGGUAGUGUUAAUAUUUAUAAAGCUCUAAGUUGGUGUGAUUUUUGGUGUGACACCAAAUUUGGUGGAACUUACAGAGUUUGGUUGGAGAUGAAUUUAAACCAAAUUUUAUGUAAAAGUACACUUUUGGAGUUUGGUUGGAGAUGGUUUUAGUUUCCACAACUUUAAUACUCAGAAUUCAAUUACAUUACCAAAAGUAAGGCUGCAAAACAGACUACUAAUAAAGAGCCAUAAACCAAUAUAGCGCAUGUACCUGGUUUGGUUCAUCUGAAACAAUGACACUUCUAUCUGCUUUGAGGAUUUGGGAAACCAAAUCACACUCUUGAAGAAGAUUGUCAAGAAUAGUUGUGUGUUUGCUUUCUAAGCAUGAAUAUAUGAUACUCUCUACUUGAUGAUGCAAGGCGUUGUUAAAGGGGUACCUGUAGGAAUAAGAGUGGAACUUAAACAAACAUACAUACAAUUUGUAUAUUAUUUUAUAGCAUUGUUCUUCUGUUUUUUAAGCAAAAACAGACCCACUUAUAUUCAUAGGCCAAUUUUAUGAACGAAGUAACAUCUUACUCAAAGAAGAGAUCAAUAACUCUUUUAAUUGUUCCUGACACGAUCAAUUCCUUCUCUGCAACUUCAUUUCCAGUCUUCAGUAGCAGAGCAAUAAACUCCACAAUCUAAGACCAGGUAACACACUGAUUACAGAUAAUAUCAUUGACAAAGAAAUAAGAUUGCGUAGUCUUAAUAUUUCCAGAAUCACAGCUGAAAGGUACUAAAUAUUUCAGCAUGUAUCACAUAGUUAAACACACACUGAAAAAGCAUACAUGUUUACAUGCUCCAAAACCACCAACAGGUUGUAAAUUGAAGAUAACAAACAUCCUCCAAAACCACUAACAAAGGUUAGAAAGACACACCACAAGCAGCCUGGUAAAAAUAAAAUACAUGUUUCUCAAAGAUUUUAAAAUAAAAAUGCAACACAAGAUAACAAAACACAUGAGAAACAAAAAAUGGAAGGCAAAGUAAAGAUUAGUGGACAAGUUACAGAACCUGACCUUUGGGCCAAAAAAAGGAACCAACUAACAAAAUUCAUAUAAGAAAUGAAUAGAUUUUUUAUUUUUUCAAUCGAAAGAAGACAUCAAGAAGGCAACCACGGAUUAGCUGUCACUUAAGAAAAGGUGACAAAGGGCAUUCCACCACUUCAAAACCAAGUUUCUUCCGCAUAAAUUACUUGCAUGGGGAUACACACAAUAUUUGUUCUUUUAUUGCACGUGUUUUAAUAUUUAAUUUUGUUUCAAUGAUAUCUAUGUCAAAAUUAAUAUGAGUCUUUUCAUUAAAAUAGUUUUUUAAAUUUAUUUAAAAAAAAAAUUUGGGUUAAUAUAAAUUAUUAUUGGGUAUAUUGAAUACUCCCUCCGUCCCACCAGGUUCUUUACGUUACUUUUUGGCACGCAUUUUAAUGCUCCUAAAAAGUAUACUUAUAUUAUAUAUUUAUUUUUUAAGAAAAUCUUGGAAAAAAGUUUGACGUUUAAACUUUUAUUCAGAAAAAGAAAAAUUAAAAAAAACAUUAUUGAACUAUACUUUAUAAGAGCCUCAAAAUGCGUGCAAACAGUGAACGUAAACAUCCUGGUGGGACGGAAGGAGUACGUUUCUAUAAUUAAGUCCGUCAAAAAAAUUAUAAAUAAAUAGGGCCGAGAGAUAUGUUUUAUUGAGAAUGUUGAAAUAUGUUUAAGUUGUAAUGAAAAAGACACAAUAAAACAUGUUAUAAAAUGAAGAGGCCCACAAACAGGACCAAAUACCGACAAACCAAAACUUUUAAUAUUUCGGCUCCAAUGGUAUAGUAUAAAAUUAGAAAGAUUAGACUCCAGUGUUUGAUUAUCUAUUGUUUUAAAAAAACAAAAAGCAAACUCUCAAAGCCAAAACUUAAAGUCAAAAAUUGGGAUUGCUUCAGUAUCAACUUUUCAAGUAUUUGAUGCUAUCUAAUCAUAUAUUUUAAAAUUAGCUUUUUAUGGUGACACAAGUCGUACCUAAGCAGCACAAACUCGGUAACUCCCCUUUCAGUGAAUUAAAAACUCAAGCUAUCAAUUUACACUGAGUCACAAAAACACUACCAACAUUAAAUUUCAAUCAAUAAUGGUUCCCCACCUUUAACCGAUACUUGCCGAGUGGAGGUCUUAGUUCACCAUAUGUAGUAGGCAAAACCUUUGCGUCGGAUGAUACAUUUAGUAGCUUCAACAAGUCACCUGAACGAAAUCAAACUAAUUAAAGUUCUUAAAUAGGAAGACAAGACUACACCAAAUUUAAUACAAAAUACCAAGCAUGAUCUGAUUUGCAUACAAAAUAAACAUAAAUUUACCAAGUUUCGGCAGCAUAGCGUCAACAGUUUCAGAGUUAACAUAUACAGGUGAUUCGUGCAUGCGUUGACUCCGGAAAGAAUGAAUAAAGGGAGAAGUUACUGAUCUUCUGGGAUCCAAUAAGGAGAUGCACACAGACAGUGAGUGGACAAGGCUCGAUUUUGACUGCGAGUCUUCCAGUGCAUGACUAAAUAUUCUGGAAACGGAACUGCAAAAAGAUAGCAUACAUUUAUAUCUGUAGCCCAGUAGGUGUUUGGUUUGAAAUCAGACGUAUAUAUUCUGGAUAAAAUAUAUAACACAGCUCAAACCUUGGGCUAGAGAGUUUAGUAGCCAAAGGCGAUGGUGCAUUCCGAGUAACAGUACACAAAGUUUCUGCUGCGUUAGCAUGCACUUCCGGAGGACUCUGGAUAAAUGAAAAAUCAGUCUGCUGCAUUUUUCAGAAAAUUGUGUAUUCUGAUGUCUUGGCACAAAUAGAAACAUCCUCACUAUGAUUAAAUCUUUUAUCAUGAAAAACAUAUUUAGAAUUUAGAUAUUGCAUGAAAAAAAUGUGCUCAAUAUACAGUUAAUACUCUUCUGAUAGAUGAUAAGAACACUGCUAUUUAAACUAAAGCAACCUAGUAGAGAAGAAAGAACAAAUACGUGCAAGUUUUAGUAACAUAUAAUGGUUAGACUCUUCAAAUCUAUGGGAUCCACAGAAGAGGUUCACUUCGUAUUCAAAACCAGCUACAAUGCUAUCCCCAAUCUCAAACAUACAUAAGGAUGUCUCCAACUUGAUAUAUUAACCAAACUGGAAGGGUACAGCAUGAAUAGAAGGUAUAAUUCACCAUUUUCUCAACAUUACUGACGUCCGUCAUUAACAGAGAUAGUAAAUGUAACAAUUAUAGAGUGGGAUGCAACAAUAGUAUGUCCUGUGAUUGACAAAUUUAUAAUGGAACUAGUUACUUACUGAUGGACUCAAUUUAUCAACAAUCAUCUCUAGCAAAUUGCUCUCAGCAAGCCAUUGCAUUACAUCCGAAGAAUUGGGAUACAUGUGAUCAUCACUGCCUACAAGUCGAACCAAAACCUGUGUAAAAGUUCAGCAAAAGGGAAAAGCAUCAAACAAAUGAAAGAAAGCAAGAAAAGCACCAUCUCAUAUUAAUAGUUGCAUGCAAAUUUAGACGCUCACCUCCAUGAUGGAUGUAAUACCUAUCAAAUCAACGAGUUGGCUAAAAACAUUCUGAUGUGACUGCAAAAGAACAAAGUGUGAGUGAAACAAAGUACUCGUACAACAAAAUGGAAAUUCAGUAACUACAUAAUUGAUAAUACAUUUUCCUGAUAUAUGAAAUAGGAAAUGCUAAAAGUAUAUGACACAAGUCAAUUCUACAACCUUAAAGCUUAAUAGUUCAGUAAUUGAUGUAGAACAAAUGAGAAUACUGUUACAUAAUAUAUUAUAUGACACAAGGAAACUAAAUUUACAUAAAAGAUAUCAUCAGAAUGUUUUCAUAGCUAUCAACAGGAAGCUGCAACUCUUCUCUACAAGAAAAAUUUACACGGUUAUAAAUUAACAAGAGUAUCAAACUCAACUUUAAUAGUCAAAAAGCAAAAUACAGCCAACAUAAUUGUGCUUCCCAGGCAGGAAGUAGCAUAUUUCGUGCUAAAAUCGAUGGGCCCAUUUGAUUCUAAUGUAAUAGCGCACUAAAAAUAAUUUUUCAUAGCAUUUCUUUCCUCAAACAUUUGCAAUCCAAUGUUAUGACUUUAAGGCUAAGCUUUAUAAUUGCAUAUAGUAGACAUUUCAGAUAAGUCUAAAAACAUUAUUAGUUUUUAUUCAACGACUUUGUCAAUUGAAGGCCUGAACACUGUGGAAUGAGAGACAAAGCUGGGCAUUUAUACAUAGGUGUUUUGGCAAAUUCAAAAAAUAAUUACAUUCUUCUAAAAAAGAAGUAAUAGAAAGCAUUGCUAGAUAUUUGCCUUCUUUGGCUCAUAAUUAAUACUACAAGGUAGACUGUUCUAUAAAUAGUUGUCAGAUUAAUAACUAAAUAUGAUGUGCAUUAUACAUAUAAGAAUUGAUCAUUAUGCAUAAAUUAUGUUAUGAUGCCAACAUAAUGUACUACUUUUUAGCAUGAGGCAAUUCCUCAAAACAACUAGAACAAUUUUAAACAAAGUUGAAUUUUUAAAGGGAAAUAGAUACAGAAAGCAGGAUAUGUGUGGAAACUCAAUCAUUGCAUAUGUAACUUAAAGAUUUUUCUUACUUGGACAUAAUUUAUUAGCGGGAUCGCCUUCCGCAACAUGAGACAAGUCACAACCUACAGCGCGGAAAGGACAAUGAAGAAAAUCACUAUGCUGAGAAAGGUGUACGGCCAAAAUUAACCAUAGUACAUUGCAGAAUAAAAAUAGAAACAUAGGUGNCAGCCGAAUANAUUCCUCAAAACAACUAGAACAAUUUUAAACAAAGUUGAAUUUUUAAAGGGAAAUAGAUACAGAAAGCAGGAUAUGUGUGGAAACUCAAUCAUUGCAUAUGUAACUUAAAGAUUUUUCUUACUUGGACAUAAUUUAUUAGCGGGAUCGCCUUCCGCAACAUGAGACAAGUCACAACCUACAGCGCGGAAAGGACAAUGAAGAAAAUCACUAUGCUGAGAAAGGUGUACGGCCAAAAUUAACCAUAGUACAUUGCAGAAUAAAAAUAGAAACAUAGGUGCCUAACCUUGCUAAAAUAUCCUGCCAGAAAGGCACUAUGAGGACGAGUCGGUUCCAAAAAUGAAAAGAGCAAAUCCAUUAGCUGCAAUUGUUUUAAAAAAAAUAAAUUAAUACAUAACGUAUAACGUCAUAGAAAUUAACUUCUUGAUAUUGGUGAGUAAAACAGAAUAUAAUAAUAAUGGAUACAUACCCCUUCUUCCUCCACUAAGGUUUUAAGAAUAACAUCGAUUUCACACGUGAAUACCUCACAGGAGAUGAAGGGAAACCUAGAAUGGAGACAAAAAUUGACCAAAAUAGAAAUUACUGUAAACUACUUAACCUAAAACACGGAGUAACACAUUUAUUUAAAUGGCCCAUUUUAUAGUAAAGCACAAUCACAUACUUCAAGCUACGUUUGCUUUCAGCAUCCUCUGGAGGCUCAUCGACAAUAUAGUGCAAGAGCUGUUCCACCUGAGCUCUCUCUCGAAGACUGAAAGAAAAGUGUUUUGAUGAGCAAGUACAACAUCAUCCGUGCGAUAUCAAACUUCGGAAGAUAUAAAGUGGGUAAUAUAUAGAUAAUUACAAAUUAAUAAGGCGGCUAUUCAAUGCUUUGCAUUCCUGGAUUAUCUCAUCCUCGUCAAGAAGCUCUUCCAAAGUAAAAUUUUCCUUAUCUAACACCGAGUCAACCUUCAAUAAUAUAGAAAAGCAUAUCCAUGAUCAAAACUCGAAAAGCAAGCCACGUGGUCUAAUAAGGAAACCGACACAUAAACAAAAAACACAAACAGAUACAAAUAAAACAAGUUAUUAGAUACGAUUUUCCUCCGUGGCAGAUACGAUCAAAACAAGCACAUAUAUAACUAAGAAACAAACGAGCUGAAAACAAGUGCUCAUAGUCAUUCUGACUCAAUUCAAGUAACACAACUCCUACUGAAGCUUUUACGAUGGCUACAUGUGAAAUUUAACGAAUUCUGUUGCCAAGCAAAAUCACAAACAUGCCGAAUUCGAUGAAUUAAAGUCAUAAGCUAACAGAAACAUGAUAUACAAGUGAAAUCAAAGCUUUAAGCUUACGGGCGAAGCAGAGAGAGUGAGUUUCCAAAACAUCUUUAAUCAUAUACGACCAGCUCAGCUAGGUUGGAUCUGCGAUUCCUAUAUUGAAGAACUAGGUCAAUACAAUAGCAUCAAUAGCUUGAGAUGAAGCUAAUUUUGAGGAUAAAUUCAAUUACAAACCCUAUUUUGAAGAAGAUCGAAAAAAUCGAAGUUCUGUGAAACCGAGAGUUCCCCAAAUUAAUUACAGCUGGAAACUGUGAAUGAAAAACUGGGUAUAUACCGUUAAUGUAUAUGUGUCACAGUUGUUUUUUUUUUUUUAAGUUUAUUUGGUGUUGUGAUGAUGAGGGUUUUCAUGUUUUGUGCUGGCAUAUUUUGUUUUUUUCUUUUCGGGAUUGUGGUAAAGUAGCACAUCCUUUUGGAAAAUUAUUUUUUUGUAAAUAUAAAUUAUUAUUUUUAUAUUUAAUAUAAAGUUAAAGUGAUUUAUUUUCUUGAAAACAUUUGAAAACAGAUUCAAACAGAAAGAAUGAUGUUUUCUUGUACACUUUCUUGGUGUAUCCGUUAACUAAAGGAACACUGUUUAUUUUUUAUUUACCUUUUGACAAGUGGUUCUGACUGGGAAAUAAUAUAAGCAUGGCCAAACCAAAGCCGCAAACGUUGGAUUGUGUCAUUACUUAUCAUCACUGUAUAAUCUUUGCCAGUUACGUUGUUUUAGAGACGACCAAGAUGCCAAAGCUGCUGCAUUUUUUGGCGCCUGCUUCUUGUUCUUUGCGGGUUCUCCAUGAAACAAAAUAUCAGCAAGUUCAAGUUCAAAUUCAACAAUUCCUGUGAAGACAGGUUCGUGUCCCAUUCAUGAUCUGAAAGUUCAGUAAUGUGGUAAUGGGGGCAACAAAUCUUUGUGCAAUCUCUUAUAACCAAACCAAACAUAACCAUAUAUGCCGCUUACAGAUCCGCGAGGAUAAAAUGGACGCGGACCAUGUCCCUUAUCUCUCAAAGAGCAGGGAGGCUAUUUUCUUGGAAACUCCCGCCCUAUUCCAAGAUCAAAAAUUAUGUGCAAUCUUAUGACAAAAAAAAUAAAAUUAUGUGCAAUCUUAUGACAAAAUAAAUAAAUAAAUUAUGUGCAAUAUCCGGUGAAAGAUUCGUGUAAAUUACUGAAAAAUAUAGAUAGAAAAAUUAUUUAAUAAAUUUAAAAGUAGUGUUUUACCGGUAACACUUGAGUUGCUAGAAAGUCCUCCAUAUUUUUUAUAAAAAAAAACUGUUUUCUAAUUUUAUUAUCACCAAAUCAUCAAAAAUAUUUUUAUAUUAGAACUCAAGAUAUAUAUUAAUAUCAAAAAAAAUUAUAAAAUGAUUAUCUUAUUUCUACUCUUAACACUUGUUUUAUUAUUUAUGUUUUGAUACUGGUCAUCAAAAGUUGGUUUUAUAUUUAUGAUCAUAAAUAUAUAACUAUCUUUUUUUUUUUUUGCCGAGAAUAUAUAACUAUCUUUAAAUUAACUAGAAAUAAAAUACAAAGAUUCACUUUAAAUGAAAAUGGAGUGGGACAAAAUGUUGGCUAAAAUUGAAUUCAUUAGGUUGUAAAGUAGAACUAGCAUCAGAGUGCAAGCCCUAUUUUAACAACAAAAAUACUUUUUUGGUGCUACGGAAUAGCAAAGACUAUAGCCAUUUUACGUUUAGCUUAAACUUACUUUAACAAACAAGAUGUCUCCCAAUAACCAAGCCAAUAGCUUCCAUAUCUACCAAAUUUAAACAAGACUUUUACAGGCAAAUGCUUAAAACUUACAGAGCAGACUGUAUACUAGAACCUCUAUAAUAGUACAGCACCAAGACAGUAAAGAACCAGAAUCAAACUCUAUCACUUCCUAUAACUAGUUGAUCCAAUUACAGAAAAGAACUAUAAUUUGUACAAGCUAUUGCACCAGUAUACUUAAAUGGCAGAACCCUUUUGUUAUAAAACUUUCGGCACCAAGAUGGGGCAACCCAAUGUAGCGAGAAAGAAGUGCCCCUCUUUCUCUGUGGGGUUUAAUCACCAGCCACAACUAAUCCAUCUACUCCAAUAUUGUAGCCUCUGGUUCAACUCUCCAGUAGUUUGCAUCAUUGAACUCAUCCAACCCAGCAUCUUUCUCAUCUGAAGUUUCCUUCUCCGCCAGCUUUGGGCCAAUGUUCCUUUUCAAUGGCCCAGCUUCGCCAACAAUGCCCUCUUUGAGAGCCUGAUCCAUUGCUUUCUCUGUACCUUCCAAUUCAACCCCUACAUAUUCCACAUCUUCUCCAGAGAGAGAAGGCGCCCUAUGGCUCAAAUGCCCUACUGAUCCUUCACCAAAAUUUGAGAUGCCAUUUGCUAGAGAUCCUCCGCCAGAUGUGGAACUGACAGGUGUAGGAACUACACCAACUGGAUUAGAACUCUCAACACUCGAUUUCGUAUCAUCUUCAAAAGGGUUUACACUUGAUCCACUAACUGGGAAAUCAGAGGACUCCCCCCAUCCCACCCAUUCAGGUAUAGGCCUAUCUCCAAAUAGAUCAUCAUUUCCUGAUGUGUCAAAGAAGCUCGGAUCACCAAAAGAACUAGGCUUCUCCUCCCUGGAAUCCACAUCUGCAGGAUUUGUUGAAGUAAUAUCAUUGAUAUUAUUCUUUACAUUGUCCAGAUUAGUUGUAGUAUCAGCAGCACAUAUGCUUUCAGCCAAUUCUUCAUCUUCUCCAACCACCACCUCAUCAUCACUACUGCUGUCACCAUUAUUUGCUGCUCCAUUCAAGUCAAUGUCAUCCAAAAUCUCAUUUUGUGAGGUGCUCAAAGAUGCAUCACCUAUUCUAUCAUCUUGAAAAGCAAACCAGUUGGAAUUUGUAAACAAACUGCAGAGCAUGGAGGUAAAAUGUUAUGUCAAUAUACCAGAUAACUUACUACAGACUCCCAAUACAGUUCUAUAAUUGAACCUGUCAUUACUUUAAAAAUAUACCUUCCUUGAUCAUCGCCCAGUCUAAGGGAUGAUAUUACAACCUCACCAGAAUCAUCAUCGAAGUAAGUAUCCGACUUGAUUAAAAAAAAAAAAACAUUAGAAUAAUCAACAAAAUUCCAGUUUUUGCAUCAAUUGUUCAAACCUCGUAAUUAACAUUGUGUGAGAAACACGCAAUUUCUCCUAUCUACAGGAUGUAAAUGAGCACAAGAAAGCCAUAAAAUAUAACAUACCUCGUCAUUGCGAUCAAGAGUUCCAUUGCCCUGCAAAUCAAAUCGGUAAAUAAAUGUAUAACUUUAUUAUCUACAUACAAGGUUAAUAUAGACACACACGCACUCACACACAGGAUCUUUAUCCUGGUCCAGGAAAAACAUUUGUCCCUAGACCAUUUUAGGAUGCUUAUCUCCCAACCAUCUGAUUAGGCAAUAAAUCGCCAGGAUCUGUAAAUAUAUUAAACAUUCCGGCUGAAGGAGAUAUCUUUUGUGCAUGGAUGAAAAAAAUCCUAACCACACCUAAUGACCAUAAACCCAAGAGUUAUUGUAAGGCAUGGAUAGAACAUUCACUUCCGCAUCUAUUAAGUGCCAAUAAUUAUUUUUCUUCUGUGACUAACAGGCGUGAAAAAUCUGAUUGCAUAUCCGAGGUUUAAGUACUGCCCAGUGCCCACAAAUGGUUUAUGGCAAAAAAAAAUCCUGGACCAGCUUUGUAUAUAUAUAACAUAUAGAGGGAGUAGAAGGGGAGAAAAAAUCUAUCAACAUACAUUUUCAGCAUCGUCAUUAUCGUACAAGCCAUAUCUGAAUGCCUGGUUUAAAUUAUUUGCCAGAGCUGCUACAUCAUAGUCCCUGUCAUUAACAUCUUCGUCAUCACUGUCCCUUAUCCUAUCAUGCAGUGCAGUAGGCCGAC
Molecule: long non-coding RNA, 13835 nt
Filed under: Daucus carota (carrot)
Lineage: Eukaryota; Viridiplantae; Streptophyta; Magnoliopsida; Apiales; Apiaceae
Description: long non-coding RNA (DCAR_LNC003851)
Source: RNAcentral